CUGUCUGAUUCGAGACCACAGGAUCAGAGCCAGGACGUGCUUGUCCCCCAGGUGAUUCUGGGACUUUUUCAGGGCCACAGUGACCUGCAACCAGAGUCAGGCAACAAGACCCAACGGUUUGAGGCUCAGGUGGAGGCAAAGCUGGUAACAGCAGGCAGACCUAUAGUCCUUGAUGGAAACAUCACAUGGCAGACAGGCAGCAGUCUGUCCAUCUCUGCAUCUCUGAGGCGCACGCUGAAUGACUGGGCUCAUGGAACAGUGUUGCUGGAGAAGAAGGCCGAGGCUGGGCUGCAGUCUGCCGUUCUGAGCAUUCAGCUGCAGGUCCCUGGUGUGGUAGAGCUCCACAUACAGGGCCUGCUGGAGCAGCAUGGCCCUGUGGGAAACAGCACCCUGAGGAUCAAGUACGGCCUCCUGGGUCACAAGAGGCAUGUCGCCCACGAGUGCAGUACCCACCAGAGGCUGAGGAUGGAGAAUGGCCCCAAGGACACCCAUGAGUUGGAGCUGGCCCACGAGUUCCACUGCACACAGCUCCCAAUCAUCAGUCACAAGGUCCAGCUACAGCACAAACAAGGCCUGGACCACCUACGCUGGCAGCUGGAGGCCAGCUACGGGGAGCAGUGGGCUGCGAGUAGCAACAAGAGAUUCUUGCGCAUCAGACAGACCUUCAAGAAUGACUCAGGACCAGCCCUCCGUAAUUACUUCCUGGAGCUUGCACUGCAGGUCCCAGAGAGGCAAGUGGAUUGCCUCACACAGCUGUACCACUUGAGCCUCCGGCAGCCCCAUAUCAAAAGCAGCACAUACCUGAAGGUGCUGUUCAAUGGGCAGCUUCCCUUUGUGGCAGGCUUGCACUGGAAGGACACAUCCAAGGCCGCCCUCUGGAGAUGGGAAGGAGCCUUGAACUUGGACAGCCCAUGGCUCACAGUGUCUGCAGCUCACAGGCUCAACUGGCCACACUGGGCUAUGUUCCAGGCUGUCUCGGAGCUGACACUAGCCAAGGCCUGGACUCUCAAGGAUUUGGUGAUCAGCAUGACCUGCAGGAGCCAGGACCAUGACAGGGAAGUCAAGAUCCAGGUGUACACCGAAGCCACCACCUAUCUCUGGGUUUCCAUGGUGACAACCUUGAUGCCAGGCCUCUUCCACAGCAGGAGUGAGCUUGAGUCAGCCUGGAGUACAGCUGUGCAGAGUGAGAUUCAUGCGGAGAACAGCCAGGACAGGAAGGUCCUGCACUGCUGGCUGAAGAGUCUCCGACGGGAGCUGAACUUCACAGCAGCCUACAAGCAUACAAAGAAGCCCCCAAAGACCCAGGUGCUGCUGACAGUCCUGGGGACUAGUGUCCCGGGCCAGCCUCGAGGCCUGCAGCUGGAGGGAGAGCUAGAGCAGCUGCAGCGAGGCAAGACUUUGUACCGGAAGCGGGGAACAUUGCUCCUCAGGCACCCCUGGCACCUCCUGGUCCCUCAGAGCCUCCUCUUGCAGGGGACCUUCAUGGUGGACAAACAGCGCCAGCAUCACUCCCUGGAGACCAAGGCUGUCCUGAAUAGCCAGGAGGAGAUCCUACACACUGUGGUGCUGAGCCGCCAGGCUGGACACCCCUAUAUCUGCACAGGCCUGACCCAUCCCUUCAAUGAUAAGACUAUCCCCAGGAGCCUGGAGGGGUGCCUGGUGGCUUGGAAUCUGAGCAAUUCUAAGAACAGUGAGCUCAAGGCUACAUUAAAAGUCAACCAGAAAGUCAUUCUGUAUCUAAAGGGUUUACACCAGGACAGCUCUCAGCAUGGAGGGAUCCAGCACAGUGUGGCUUUGGAGGCCACCCAUUCCUCCCAGACCCUCCACUUGAAUGGUGGCUUUGACCUCACAAGGCGUCGUCGACAAGGAACAUUUGACUUCAGUACAGAUGUACAAGCUUCUAUCAACCACAACGCCACAUCCCAGGUCUCGGUCCAGCUGAACAAAUCAAGCUCCCACUUGGCAUUUUCCUUGCAGUUCCAACCUCUAGACGGCCUUGCCUUCCCACCCAGCUUACAGGUGCAGGCUGCCACAGGAUGUCACAAGGAGCACAGAGUGGACGUGUCACUGUCUGUGCAUGUGUCUGGCCGUGAGCUGCUUCUGCUAGAGGUGGACACUAGCAAGCAACGUAGGAGGAGCCGCCGGGGCUGGAACAUGAGGGCCUCCCUCCACCAGGCUGUCUUCAGCACCCCCAGAGCCCUUCAGCUACAGUUGUCCUCCAUGGUCACCCCAGCAAGGGUACAGAUGUUUUCCAAGGUGCUGGUGGACCAGGACUCAGCACAGCUGCUCCUCAAAACAUCUGAGGGGAGACGGGGAGGCUGGGUCCUCAGCCUGUGGAGCCUUGCCCAACACUCGGUGGCUGGCUGGACAAAAGUGCCCCGUGUCCUUAGCCUCAAGAGUAUGCUAAAGCAGAAGAUGGCGUUCAGAGAAGGUUCUGUUAUGGUGGCCACUGACUCAGCCAUGCUGAGCUUCCUCCUGCGGGAUAAGUAUGAGGAGACAGGGAAUGGCAGUCUGCACAGCAUGACCUGCACCAUCACUCAGAAUUACAGCCAGGCCUUGCCGGCAGAGCUCCAGCUGAGAGGGCGGCAGCAGACCUACACUGGAGCCCUUGGGGGCCAGGCCAGCAUCCAUGGUGACUUGAUCAGCCUGGCCCUGGAUGGGACCUGCACCUGGGAUCUUGGGCAUCAUCAGCUUUCAGACAACCUGACUCACAACUUGGGCCCAUUGGGUGAUGCAGGACCAGCCUCCAAUUCUGGGUUGCAAGUGCCCAGUGCCCAGGAAUCCUCCAACCGCUCAGCACAGAUGGAAUUGUGGAGUGCAAACUGUCACCUCAAUGCCAGUCUUGACCCCUCAAGCCCCACCAUUCCCAGCCACAGACACAGGGCUGUCCCCUUCUCCAUAUAUGGCCAUGGGCACAUUCAGUAAUGGGGGUGGAGAUUUUACCUAAGGCCAGAGACAGCUGUAGGUGGAACAGGGAGGAGCAAUGAGCUACAGCAAAGGCCAGCAGACUUCACUAAGAGGCGAUGAGAUGGGAAAACCUGCCAGGUGUGGUGGCACAUGCCUUUAACCCCAGCACUUGGAGGCAGAGGCAGGUGGAUCUCUGUGAGUUUAAGGCCAGCCUGGUCUAAAGAUCGAGUUCCAGGCCAGUCAGGGCUACAUAAAGAGACCCUGCCUCAAAAAAGAAGAAAGAAGGAGGAGGAAAAGGAGAAAGAAGAAGAAGAAGAAGAAGAAGAAGAAGAAGAAGAAGAAGAAGAAGAAGAAGAAGAAGAAGAAGAAGAAGGAAGAAGAAGAAGAAGAAGGAAGAAGAAGAAGAAGAAGGAAGAAGAAGAAGAAGAAGGAAGAAGAAGAAGAAGAAGGAAGAAGAAGAAGAAGAAGAAGAAGAAGAAGAAGAAGAAGAAGAAGAAGAAGAAGAAGAAGAAGAAGAAGAAGAAGAAGACCUAUAGGCCAUGGGAGUCUCCCAUAGGGGAUAGCAACCAUUGACAGUAGUUGAUGAAGAAGCAGAGCCAUAUUCUAAUAAAACUUUAUUGGCAAGAUCAGGUCCAAGAGCUGAGCAGUCCUAGGUUUGUGACCCUAUUUUCCACCAUUUGGACAUCUUCACCUUCCCAGGCUCACUCUGGCUAUUCUCCUUGGAUCCCUCCCUGGAACUCUCUGAGCCCUACGUCACUGAUGGGAACCUGUAUGACUUCAGGCCUGUUCUUUCCAUGCUUUAGUCCUGAAAUCCCUGGGGUUCUGGGAUGUGGCCAGCUUGGGAUAGUCCGUCCCUAUCGUAUCCCUGCAGGUCUCUGUGGACAUUCGUGAUGGUGCCGCCAGCUUUGAGCACUCCACAUAUAUUUCAACAGGCCCUCUAUCCAUCAACUGCUCUGUAAACUACUGGGCCCAUGAGGGCCGUCUGGAGCUAUGGGGCCACAGCCAGCACGACAGUGAGGUCCUGUUGAAGGCCGGGCUCCCGGAUGAGGCCAACCUGCAAGCUGAACUACAGAUACAGGGUGAGCUUGGAUCCGGAGGGCAGUAUUGCUGAAGUUUUCUUGUCUGCCAGGCCCCACCACCCUUGAGUCCCAAAUAAACACAUGGACAUUAUAUUAAUUAUUAAACUGUUGACUAAUGGCUAGGGCUUCUUAUUGGCUAAUUCUCUCUUAAUUAUUAACCCG
Molecule: long non-coding RNA, 4148 nt
Filed under: Cricetulus griseus (Chinese hamster)
Lineage: Eukaryota; Metazoa; Chordata; Mammalia; Rodentia; Cricetidae
Description: lncRNA (ENSCGRG00000026252.1)
Source: RNAcentral